GAGAUGGAAACUGAGAAUUCCCUCUGUAAGGCGGUGUGUGUGAAUGCAGACAUGGGCCUGUGAGGUUCACGAGGAGAUGGAAACUGAGAAUUCCCUCUGUAAGGCGGUGUGUGUGAAUGCAGACAUGGGUCUGUGAGGUUCACGAGGAGAUGGAAACUGAGAAUUCCGUCUGUAAGGCGGUGUGUGUGUACGCAGACAUGGGCCUGUGAGGUUCACGAGGUGGACUGUGAUAGACACUGACACCCACCUUGGAUCCUCCUUCAAAACUCAUUGCCCAGCUGUGAAGAGUGUGGCUGGCUAAAAAGCUCCAUGAGCUCCUUUCGGAUCUGCGCUGCUGAGCUACGGUCACACUCUUUUCAGGGCACCUCGGUCAAUGGCAGAGCCAUGCGGAGGGAGCUGAGGUCAUGCUUUCACCAGGAAGGCCACCAGUGAUCAAUGACGUCAAAAGGCGGUGGCACAGAGCCUUUCUGUUUCUGCCCAACGCCGGACACCCUGGUUCAGCAAAAGUUAUGAUUUAAAUAUGCUUCCAAGCUUUUUCUUUCCUCCCACAACCCUUUUUUUUUUUUUUGAGACGGAGUCUUGCUUUGUCACCCAGGCUGGAGUGCACUGGCAUGAUCUUGGCUCACUGCAACCUCUGCCUCCCAGGUUCAAGGAAUCCUUGUGCCUCAGCCCCCUGAGUAGCUGGGAUUACAGGCAUGCACCACCAUACCUGGAUAAUUUUUGUAUUUUCAGUAGAGUCGGGAUAUCACCAUGUUGGCCAGGCUGGUCUUGAACUCCUGACCUCAAGUGAUCCACCCGCCUCAGCCUCCCAAAGUGCUGGGAUUACAGGUGUGAGCCACUGAACCUGGCCAAGCUUUUUCUUACUGCAGAGUGGGAGUAGCAUCCUCUCCAGCCUUCUGCAUGUGAGGUACAGGCCACUUUGCUCUGGAGCUCCCUGCUAGGCUGGAAGACACUUGGCCAGGUCUGCAUCAUGGUGUGACCCUCCCCUUGCCCAAUUGCCUUUUGCAAGUAUGACCCCCCAGUCCAAACAUUGCUACUGUCUUCUCCAGGAGGAACUCAACUGACACACACUGUGUGGAAAACCUAGUUAAAAUUAUGGCUCAUUUGCCCGGAAAAAACCAACCUUGCCUGGACGUCCCAAAAUCCUGAGUACAAGUUUAAGGUAUUCAUGGAUGCCCUGAAGCCCAGGGACCCCACCUGAAGAGCCCCGGGAUUCGACUCUCCACCUGCACUUCAUACUCCCGUGGGGGAUGUGCUGUUGAUACUGACAGGCGUUAUAGCUCUAGCAAGGGGCAAUGGUUGCAAUCUGGGCAGGACAACCAUGAGAGGCGGUGCAGUGAUGCACUCCCCGGGUGGCGGGCAGGCGUUCUGUCUCGUCCCUCCUCAUUGAACUUGGCAGUGAACCUUCAUAAGGAGAAGAUAACAAAUUCCCCCGGGACCUUUGGGUACUGUGGGAGAUGCCUAUGGUCCUGAGAAGUAGGUGCGCUGACAAUGGAACAGAGAACAGCUGGCAUCUUAGGCUAAAUGAUGAGUGGAAAGAGUUUCGGCAGUUUUCAGGUUUCUUCCUAGAUUGUCCAACUCAAUCAGGGCAAGGGAGGGAGCAGAAAGUCCAGAAAGUUAUGUUCAUGAAGAAAGAGUGUGCAUUUGUAGAGAGUCGUUCACGAGUUUGAGCUCUCAGAGGAGCCGGUGGAGUGAAGGCAUUGGCUGGGCUACUGUAGCAGGGAAAAGGGCACUUCAAGAUCCUAAGGUCGAGGAUUUAGGAAAUUGAAUCAAUGAACUCCUCACUAUCUGUUUCUAUCUCACCUUCUACCAUAAAGAAUGAUGAUAGCCGACACAAGAAAAAAUGUGUCCCUGCCACGUAAAAUGUGUUACAAUUUGGAGGCAGAGGCCGAGGGUGGAAAGGCUGAGGAGGCCACGAAGAAGUUGUGUUUGGGACCUGAGGGAGGGGCAGACGGAAGAGGUCAUUGUGCAAAGACUGCGUGUUCUCAGCACCAGUGAUUCACCUUUGGUGUGUUGGAUAUAGCAUCUUUGGGAAGCAACUCAGUGAUUCUCAGGAUGAAUAGGGCUUUCAAACCAAAUCAGUGUUUCAGAAGCAGCACGUGGUUGUGACACCAGUUCAGAAAAAUAUGCAUAAGCUGAAAAGCGGAAGUCCCUUUCACAACGCCAAGGCUUUGCCCUAAAUUCAGUUCCCGGGAAAUAGGUACUGUUAGCAGGGAUGUGUCUUCUGGAUUUUCAGUGCAUUCCUCAUUCUGGGAAGGGAUGGGUGCAGGGUGCUUCUGCGGGGAGGACCACUCACCCAUCCCUGCACCCACAGGGCCACCUGCUCCCUCUCAAGCUGCCUCUGGGAGCAGAUGCUGGCUCCUCCCCAUCAGAGUGGGGAGCUUGGAGUACAACCACCAGCUUCCUUCUGUUGGUAAGAGUUCCAUGACAUCCUUGAGUUCUAAGGACAACUGGAUUGGCUGAUAGUUUUAUCACUCUGAAGCUCAGACAUGGAUGGAAAGUUGGGAGGUGAGCUCUCCUUUUUCCUCAGUGGGUAGAGGGGGUCCUGCCCAUUCCCGGAGCUAUGCUCCAGCUUCUGCCUGCAGGCCUGAGGCUGGCCCCAUCUCUGCCAAUAUCCACUGCCCUGUUUUGACUUGCAGCAGAGACGCUCAUUUCGUCCUUUUGCCUGACCACAAAGAUUUGUCUGCUGCAGCUUUCUUGUGACUGAUGCUUUUUGCUUCACUGUGGAAAAAUCCCAGGAGCCUCACAGAUCAAGGGCCUGAAGGGAAUUGUGUGGGAGGCUUCUGACAAUUUGUGUAAAGGGGAAAAAUAUUAUUCCCAGGAGGCAAUCAAUCCUCAGGGCCGUGAACUCUGGCCAUGGCACCAGCUCCAUUUCUGCAGUGAAAUGGGGAUGUGUCAUGCAGAAACAUGAGUGGGACUGGCGAAGGUCUGGAGGCCAAGUCAGAAUUUCCAGGCUGCCCCCCCUAUGUGUCCCACAGUCACCUUGGAGUCUGGUCUGCAGCCUGGCUUUUUGCUAUUUGAGACUCACAUUUUCCCAUACCCUAACAUGGAGGCUAGCAUAGUGCCUGAUACUUCGUAAACGCUUGAUCAAUAUUCUGGAAGGAAGACUUUGACAAAUGUUCUAAAGGCACCUUAUCUGUUCCAGAUGCUAGGGAUUCAGCAGUGAACAAAAUGAACUAAAAAUAGAACUACCAUUGGAUCACCAAUCCUGCUAUACGGUAUCCACCCAAAAGAAAGGAAACCAGUGUAUAAAAGAUAUACCUGCACUCUAUGUUCAUUGUGGCUCCAUUCACAAUAGCAAAGAUAAGAAAUCAACCUAAGUGUCCAUCAGAGGAUGGCUGGUUAAAGAAAAUGUGGUACAUAUACCCAAUGGAAUACUACUCAGCCAUGAAAAAGAAUCAUGUCUUUUGCAGCAACAUGGACAGAGCUGGAGGACAUCACUAAAUCAUGUGCACACAUGGACAUAGAGAAUAAAAUAAUAGACGUUAGAGACUCGGAAAGGUGGGAGGGUGCGAGGAGGGCGACAGAUGAGAAAUGAUCUAUUGGGUACAAUGGUCACCAUUUGGGUGGCAGGUACCCUAAAAGCCCAGACUUUACCACGAUGCCAGACAUCCAUGUAACAUGUAACAAAACUGUAAAAAAAAGUUUGUAAAAAUCGGAAAAUUUAAAAAAGUUCCCUAAAUCUAUAAAAAUUUAAAAAUGGACAAAAAUUCUUGUUCUGAUGAUUCCUAAAAAAUUACCUCCCUUGACACAUUCUCUUUCUCCCUCAUACAUUCUAUUACAUUUCUGUAUUUCUACCAAUUAAUUUGUUUUUUCUUCCCUUCAAGAAAUAAACAACAAAACAUCUUUUUAAAGCGACUAUUCUUGGUCAGGUCAAUAAACGUAAAUGAACAUGGCCAGGUGUGGUGGUGCAUGCCUGUAAUCCCAGCAUUUUAAGAGGCAGGAGGAUUGCUUGAGCCCAAGAGUUGAAGACCACCCUGGGCAACAUGGUAAAACCCUGUCUCUACCAAAAAAAAUACAAAAAAUUAGCUGGGCAUAGUGGCGUGCACCUGUGGUCUCACCUAUGUAGGAGACUGGGGUGGGAGGAUUGCUUGAGCCCAAGAGAUUGAGGCUGCAGUGAGCUGUGAUCAUGUCACUGCACUCCAGCCUGGGUGACAGAGUGAGACCAUGUCUCAAAAUAAAAUAAAACAAAACAAAAUAAAGGACUGCAUCUUCUAAGAGACACAGGCUGUGAUGGAUAAAUGAGGGAGAUGAAGCUGCAGUUCUCAGGAAGCUCGAAGUCAGUCCUUGGAUGCUUUUGGCUCAACCUGGUUUUAAAAAAUGAAAAAAUGUAUGAGCUUCUAGAAGAGAAAAUCCAGAGGUAGGGCUGACCUUCAGGGUAGCAGCAGUGGCUCUCGGAGGUCAUAAGGAAACAGCCGCUGCUUUUUUUUUUUUUGAGACAGGAUCUUGUUCUGUUACUCAGGUGAAAGGGCGGUGACACGGUCAUGACUCAGUGCUCAGCCUCAUGAGGAUCAAGUGAGCUGAGACCCAGGUGCACACCAUCAUGCCUGGCUAAUUCUUACAUUUUUUCAGUAGAGACAAAGUCUUCCUAUGUUGCCCAGGCUGGUCUUGAACUCUUGGGCUUAUGGGAUCUUCCUGCCUCAGCCACCCAAAGUGCUGCAAUUACAGGUGUGAGCAACUACGCCCCGCCAGAAGCAGCAGCUUGUCUGUGUUCUUCACCCUGCCUGUUGCAGUGUUGAUUUUAACCUAAAACUGGCUCUCAUCACGGUUCUGGAACAGCUGCCAGUGGAGCCACGUGUUCCCUCAUUGUGCCUGAUGGGAGGGAGGCUGGCUUUCCACGGCCUUCAGAGUGAGAAAUACCUUGCUGGAGGCCUGCAGUAAAUCUCUGCCCAGGUCCAACUGGCGAGCACUGGGUUCCUUGUCCAUUUCUGAACCAACCACUGUCCAUGGAAUUAGGAUGCCUUUUUACCCUGCGGUGGAUGCCAGUGCCCCAACUCAUAAGGGAGGGAUGGAACGCAAGUCAUUCUGUAACAGUCUAGAUCUAAAGCUGACCUUUAUCUGUCUUCUCAAAGCCUUCCCUCUGGGCCUGGUGGUCUCUGUGAGACAAAUGUUUUCCUCUUUCUCAUUUCCCAGGAGUGGGCUGUGUGUCCUCUCUCCUCCCAACUGCUGAUUCCGGAACUUUUUGUUUUCCAAAACCACAUGCUCCUUUGAAACUGAUGCCUUUAUUCCUCCCUCCGCGGUGCCCUCGUCACCUAGCAAACUCCUUGUCAUGCCCGUUCUCUGUUGUUUAAGUUCUCAGUUUUUCUUUGUAUUCUUUCUUCUAAUCUCAUUCCCUUUUAAUUCAAUAAACAAACAAAAAAAUGUGACCCAACAUUCUGCUUCCCAGUUUUUGCCUUUGCUUAUUUUUUAAACUUCCCUUCUCCAGAGUGAUCCUGUCCUUCCCUAGAGCUCAGCCAUGUACUCUCACUGUCUUAUUCUGGGUCUUCUCAGCAGAAGAAACUGCAUCUCUUUUGGAACGUUGAUUUUAAAUGCCCUGGGUUGUGGCUACCACCUUCUCCGCUUCUAGCUCAUUUACUCUAAACAGUGGUUCUCACCCAGGUGCAAGUCCUCUCCGUCAGCAGACAUUUUUGGUUGUCAUAUCUCAGGGCAGGUGCUACUAGCAUCCGGCAGAUUGAGGCCAGGGACACUGCUAACCAGCUUACAAUGCCCAAGGCAGGCCCCACAAAAAUCAUCUGUCUUCAAAUGUCAACAGGGCCAAGGUUGAGAAACCCUGCUCUGAAACUUCAAAUACAACAGUAUUUUGAAUAUAAAACGAUUGUAGAUCCAUUGACAUCACAUCUUUCUUAUUAAACACUGGCCCCUUCUGCUCUGAUUUCCUUAGAGUAAAUGACCCAUCAUAAUUAUGCCCAGGCAAAUGCCCUCUUCUUAAGCUCAUUUGCACUCACCAGGCAAAAAUCGCUCACCCACCCAAACCUGGUUGAACCCAACGAUCUACUUUCUUUGUGCUUGGACUGGACUACUAACUAUUAUUUGAGAAACUCACACCUUGCACUAACUGGCUUCACAAUAAAUUACAAACCUGACUGGGCUCAACUCUAUGUAGAAAUUCUGCAGUGCCUGCCUGGAGGCAUCCCAGCAUCCAAGACGGCCACGUUCCUGGCUGAUCCUUCUCCUUUGCUGAUUCUGCUCCACUUCCUGGCUUUGAAUCAGACAUUCCCAGGGCUUCCACUCAAGCCCUCUUCUCUUUCUCUUCAUUCUGCUCUUUCUGCCUCUAUUUAUUUCCAUGCCCUAGAAACACUCUCCGUGUAACUGGGACUUCCAAAUGCCUGUCUUUAAUCCAGUGCUUUCCCCUGGGUGCUAGUCUGUUAAAUCAUCUGUUGACAUAUUCAGCUGCGGACUCACAGGUGACCCAAGCGGGACGUAUCCCAUGUGAAUUUCAAAUCUGCCUUUCUGUUCCAUCUAAAAUUUCUCUCCCAGUGUUCUCCAUUUCUGAGGAUUGACCCUGUCACUGUUUAUCUCAUUACUAGAGUCCCAGACCUGGGAGUGUACCCUCAAUGUCUCCAUUUCCCCCACCAGUCUCCUUCCAUCACACAUUCGGGAUUUGGCGAGCCCCGUGGAUUCCACCUUCAAAAGAGCCAUAUCUCAAAUCCAUCUACCACUCGUCACCUCUGUUGCCAUCCCCCAACAGUCCACCAUUAUCUCUCCUGUCUCAUGAUAAUGAAGUCCUAAAUGGCUUCCCUGCGGCCACUCUUGACCAUUGUAGUCCACUCUUCACCCAGCAGCCUGAAUGAUCUUUGAACAGUGUCAAUCACAUUAUCUCACUUUCUUGCUUAAAACUUGCCAAUGACUUCCUACCAUGCCUCAAAUUCCAGUGUAGCCUUCCCUUACCUCCCUCUCAAGUCACAAUGGCUCCCAUCCUCCCUUGCUCCUGAUGCUCCAGUAAUGCUGAUAUGCUUUUCAGAUCUUAGAACAUGUCGAACUCGUUGAACCUCAGGGUCUUUAAUGGACUUUCCUUUCACCUGGAUUAGUCUUCCUUGGUCUCCUCUCAUAGCAUGAAUUUCUCAUCCCUUGAAACUCAGCUUGAGUGUCGUCUGAGAGACGCCUUGCUGUCCACCUCCUCUAAGAUGUGUCUGACCCAUUAGUCUCUGUCGUGACUCUUUUUUUCCCUAUGAGUAAAAAUUCUGAUAAUCCUGGUUAUUUUAUUUACUUGUUUAUUGUCAGUAUUUGCCAUUACAAUGUAAGUACCCUGGGGACAGACCCUGGUCAGUCAGGUUCACGUCCCCAGGACCUCAGACCAUCUGGUACAUAGUCGGUACUUAGCAGGCGCCUGUUGAGUGAAACGGAUGAGUGAAUGUGAGCCCCUCUGUGGAUCACACAUCAUCUUGGAGGCCUUUAAAACCUUGCACAGCAUAUUCCCUUGGCCUUCCUGUCUCUUCAUCACUUAGCUCAUGUAUUAGGGUUCUCCAGAGAAGCAGAACCCACUGGAUAUACCUGAUUCUAUAUCCAUAGAUAGAUCAGAGAUUUAUUUUGGGAAUUGGCUUAUGCAGUUACGGAGGCCGGGAACUCUAAAGAUCUUUUGUCUGCAAACUGGAGAACCGCAAAAGCCAGUGGUGACUUCAGUUCAAAGUACCAAGUCCCGGGAACCAGGAAAGCCGAUGUCGUAACUCCCAUCUGAGGCUGAAGGCUCGAGAAGGAAGAGUUUCAGUGUCCACAGGCAGACAGAGAGAACAAAUUCUCCCUUCCUCCGCCUUUUUGUUCUACCCAGGCCCUCAACGGAUCGGGUGACGCUGUCUUCACCGGCGAGCAUGAUCUUCAUCAGUACAGUCUACUGAUUUCUUCGAGAAAUAGCCUCAUAGACACAGCUAGAGAUAAUGUUUUGUCAGCUAUCUGGACACCCCUUAGCCCAGUCUAAUGACACAUGAAGUGAACCAUCACAACCCAUAUCAUUAAGACUUGGCUCCAACAUCAGUUCUCCUAUCCCCAUUGCAGACCAACUCUGGAACUUCUGUAGCUCUGGAGCUCACCUUGACCACAGCACUUCCCCUAUUCCACGGUGACUGUGGCUUUGGCAGUCUCUCCCACUUUGUCAACUGCUUUGGGGCAGUGCCCUGCAUUUUAUAUCCGCACGAAGCAAUUCAAACGAGCAGUCUGAAACUGAAAGGAUGAUUCAAAUAUGGAGUUACCAGCGAAGAGUUUCACUGUCACUCUCCUCCCCGCUCCACUGCCCGGACGAGGAAGUGUGGAAAUGUGUCUGGCUCCAUCCGAGAGACUAGGUAACUCAGAGACCAUGGAAGUUCAUCCACAUUAACUGCACGCAUGCAGCAAAGCUGUGUCCUGAAAGCAUCUUCGACGUAGGAACCUUCUGGCCUAGAACCCUUCCCCUUCUCACGCCUACCAACCCCGUGGGCAAAUCUACGCAUGUGCAAUGCUUGGAGGGGAUGUUCACGAUGUCCACAAGUUGUCUUCAGAAGACAGUCUUUCCUGUGAAUUUUAACACGGAACGUACACAAUUGCUUACGGACGGGACUUUGCUCAAACAGUGGGAACCUCUUUAACGUCUAGAAAGAGUAGCUUUGUUGACCACGUAUGCUACACGCGCAGCAAAGUGAGACAAAACGCAGACCUGCGAGACACCGGUGAAUCCGGCCUCUCCAUAGGCACGCUGGCGGGAAGCCCACUGGCACCUGCUCCUUUCUGCUCUUCCCUAGACCAGAACGGAAAGACACGUGCCUGUCCAAAGAGGUGGUUUGGCCAUUCCAUUGCCCAAAGACAACGUUUCAUGUGGAUUUUAAUAAAAAGAUAUUUGGAAAAUAUGUCCCAUUGCUACAUCUACUUUUAAUAUAUACCAACCGGUACUUCAGGACAUCAAGAAAAAUUACAUAUCAGAAAAAGGAACACGGCAAGGCCAACUACAUCCACGUUGGUGAAGAAUAGAAAGUGGAGGCAGGACGUGGUUGGGAAAUGAAAAAGUCCUCUCAACAUGACUGACUGGGCAUAGAACCCUUCUUCUGAACUCAAUCCAAGCUCAGCUUCCGCAUAAAUUCAGGGUGUGCAUGGACUUCCUAGAGCUUAUUCAUGAACUCUCCAGAGUCUAAGUUAAGAACCUCUCUACUUAGGAAUUUUCUGUCUUUUCCUGAUUCCACAGUUACUUCACUGAAGAAGAGAGGACUUUGUUGAAGUCUUCUCAGGCUUUCUGCACAGGGCUCUGGCCUUGGAGAAAGGAUUUCCAUUACUGAAGUGUCACUUGGCCCUGGGUCUCCUCCUGGGAGAGAGAAGGGUACAGCUCCCAAGGUUCCUGGCAGUUUUGAAAGAGCUCUCAGCUACAGCCAGCUUUACUUUGGCAAGUGAGGCCAUCCCCUUUCUUUCCUCCUUUCCUUUCCCAUGGAACCUACUCCUUCCAUCUGUCUUUCAAGCUCUGCCUUAGCAAUGGCAAUUCAAGCCUUAUUUUCUCCUUGAAUGCACUCUCUAAGUGAAAGAGGCUUUUCACCAAGAAUGUGGUGCUGGUGUUUCUCUUGCCAAUGGGUUAAACAAAGACCUCCAAGCUGGGUAACAUUUGGGCAGGCCUCUUCACACAUGCCUGUCCUUCUCCGUCCCACUUGGCAAAAGCCAACAACCUACGUGUGAAAAGUAUAAAGAGAUGGAAAAAUUCCCAUGAAAAAUCCUUCCCCAAAGCAAUUGCAAGACAACUGUAGCAUCAUCUGAUAAAAUUAUUUCUAUUUUGCAGCCGUUUCAUUGUUGGAGGCCACUCAGGGUUGCCAGCCUGCAGGUACAUAGGUAAAAAUUAUAAGUGAAUGCAUCUGCUCAGGUUAUUGCCACUGAUUUUUAAAUAAUCUGAAGUUUGAGAGUCUGUUAAUAACCCAUAUGUGCUGAGAGCAUCCACAGACCUAAUAGCAUAAAUAUUAAUCACCUCUUUUCUGCAGAGUAGCAAGUAAGAAACUAGGAAGAGCUGUUUCACUUCCAACUUGUUCCUUAAGGGCCUUAAAGUUGGUAGUCGUUCUUGUCUGGGCUCCCUAAUGCCACGUUCAAUCAACGAGAAAAGAAAUAUGCACAAAAUCAGCACCCAAAUACCCCGGUGCCAGCCUGUGCCCAUGCUCCGGCAACGGCAGCUACCCACGCAGCAGGACUGAGCCAGGUCUAAGGUUAGCAGCGCCCCAGCUCCUCAGGUUUCUGCACAUUGACUCACAACAGAAUCAAAACUCCAGAGCUAAACUCUCUGGUUUCUUCUGCUUUUUCUUCUGCAAUUUUCUGUUUAUUUUUUUAAAACUUUUUUUAUUGGCAACCAUGAAAGAGAUAUUCACAAGACUCACAGCAAGGUCAGAGACCCCAAACAGAUGGUUUUCCCUUAAUUCAUCAAGCUGGAGCAGAAUUUAAACCAAGCUGGAGGAGUCACUCCGCCUCCGGCCACAACCUCAUCUGUACAUCCUGGGCUUCAUCGCAUUGGCUGGAAGCUGGUUUGCUUCUUCCAAGGGCCUUCUUUGAGGGCAUUCAUGGCUCCUGCAAGUUUGAGCAUCACUCGCUCCUGGCGCUGGCAGUGCCACUCAGCCAUGGAUGGGAACUCACUUGGUUUGGAGCUCGUACAAAUGAGAACCGUAAACCGCAACCUCGGUGAGGUCUGAAGACUCCAGAGCCUUCAGCUCAGGCACAGCCUUGCUCACCUGCUCAAUGUAAGGGAUUCCUCCCUCCCCAACCUCGAGAGAGUCAGAGACAGCUCUACCACCUGGUGGAGGAGAAAGCUGACCCCUGGUGUGCUUCCAGGAUGCGAGACGCUCUUGAAGCCUAACACUCUCUUUCAGUGAUAUCACUCACAUUUCCCUGAAGCUGUGUUCUUGAGUUGCAUAGCGCAUUGUUAGCAACGAUUUUUUAAAAACAUUUCUUUUAGAGAUGCGAUUUUGCCAUGUUGGCCAGGUUGGUAUCAAACUUCUGGGCUCAAGUGAUCCACCCUCCGCAGCUUCCCAAAGUGUUGGGAUUACAGGCUUGAGCCACCAUGCCCAGCCCAACAACUAUGAAAACCCUUGUGACUCCAAAGAAUGAGACUGAACACCAACCUGUGAUGCCAGAACAAGCACUCCACAUGCCAACAGAGAGCCCUAGUGAGGAGUCAGGGUCAAGACCGGGGGAGGAAAUUCUCCUCCCUUCCGCUCUCUCUCCCUCACUCCCUCCCUUCCUUUCUCUUCCUUCGCUUUCUUUCUUUUGCUUGCUUUCUUUCUCUUUCUUUCUUUUUUCUUUCUUUCUCUUUCUUCUCCCUCCCUCCCUCCCUCCCUCCCUCCCUCCCUCCCUCCCUCCCUCCCUCCCUCCCUUCCUUCCUUCCUUCCUUCCUUCCUUCCUUCCUUCCUUCCUUCCUUCUCUCUCUCUCUUUCAUGGUUUUACUCUGUCACACAGGCUGGAGUACAGUGGUGCAAUCACAUCUCACUGCAGCCUCUACCUCCCAGGCUCAAGAAAUUCUCUCACCUCAGCCUCCCAAGUAGCUGGGACCAAAGGAUCAGCAAUGCUUCUGAUAGGGGUUGCCGCUCAGUUCCAGGUGUGGAGAGGAGGCUGCGCUGGCUUGACAUGGACACCGACGUGAACUAGAAAUGAGCUGUUUAUUGUGUGGGUCGUUGUGAUUUCUUACCGUGGUGUGGCCCAGCCUGUCCCGCCUCUUACAACAACGGAUGUUUUCCCUACACUGCAGUCCGUCCUCUGGGAUGUGUCCGCCCUGAGAAGAAGGCAAACAUGUGCCCAGCUAAAAGCCUGUAUUUCAGUGUCCCUCGCUGGACGUGUGGCCAAGGAGAUUGGGAUGACUGGAGCUCCAGCAGCCAUCUUGUGCCCAUGAGGUGAAUUCUAGAGAACAAAAUCCCACAGCUGAAGGUGGUGGAGCACAAUGAUAUGAGGAACCUGGUUCCCGCUGACAAAGUGGAGCCCUCCUAUGCUCCCUGGUCAUCUAUCCUCAGACCGUGCCGUGUGAAAGAAAGUCAUCCCCUAAUGUGACUCAGCCAUGCUUACUUUGGGUCUCUGCUUACAGCAGACAAAAGCCAUUUCUAGAUCAUUCAGGAGACUAGGCAGUUCAGGCUAGCCUGCUUGCAAGACAAGCUUUCUCAGCUGAGCUUAGGUCUUCACAGAGGACUCUUAUUUAGGGAAUUAGAGAAAAACUCAAAGCAAAGAGGAAUCUAGAUGAAAGUGGAUUGUGGUGAAAGCUGAACAGUCAAAAAUAAACAGCAGCGUUGGCAACAAAACGCGCUUGUUCAGGCUGCUCAAACACUUCAGAGUCCUAUUUCCUCAGAAUCGGGAUUGAGAAUGACCUUAAAUAUCAUUUAAUCUGUUUAGCUCCGCUCCCCUCUUUUCUCUCUUCCCCUUUUCUCAGCCACAGAAAAUCAGAGUUCUUCUGUUUGUGCCUGCUUGCCUUUGGCUGCCCAUAUCUGAGCAAAGUUGCUCCAUAUGACCCUGUGAGAUUGGCAGAUCACAAGAUUUGUCCCAUUUCAUUCAAUGCCAGAUCCCAGAAGUAGCAACUCUUCUUUUGCUGAUGCCAAUCCAUCUAUUCGUCUAUCUCUCCAUCCAUCUAUCUACUUAUCCAUCCAUCCAUGCAUCUACCCAUCCAUCGAUCCAUCCGUCUUCAACUAUCCCUCCAUCCACUUAUCCAUCCAUCCAUCCAUCUGCCCAUCCGUUCAUCCAUCCAUCCAUUUGUCCAUCUGUCCAUCAAUCCAUUCAUCUAUCCAUCCAUCUUCCCAUCUCUCCAUCCAUCCAUCCAUCUUCAUCUAUCCAUCCUUCCAUCUACUUAUCCAUCCAUCCAUCUAUCCAUCGAUCCAUCUUCAUCUAUCCAUCCAUCCACUUAUCCAUCCAUCCAUCCAUCCAUCCAUUCGUCCAUCUGUCCAUCGAUCCAUUUGUCUAUCCAUCCAUCUGUCCAUCCAUCCAUGUAUCUUUUUUUUUGAGACAGAGUUUCGCUCGUUACCCAGGCUGGAGUGCAAUGGCGCGAUCUCGGCUCACCACAACCUCCACCUCCUGGGUUCAGGCAAUUCUCUUGCCUCAGCCUCCUGAGUAGCUGGGAUUACAGGCACACGCCACCAUGCCCAGCUAAUUUUCUUUUGUAUUUUUAGUAGAGACAGGGUUUCACCAUGUUGACCAGGAUGGUCUCGAUCUCUUGACCUCGUGAUCCACCUGCCUCGUCCUCCCAAAGUGCUGGGAUUACAGGCUUGAGCCACCACGCCUGGCCCCAUGUAUCUAUUUUCUCUGUCUCUCAAUCAUCUAUUUAUUGGUUAUUUUAGGCACUGCAGCUACACAAUUUAAAUCCAUAAUCUUCACAAGAACCCUGUGAGCCUUGUUAUCUCCAUUCCACAAAUUAAGAAAUGAGGCUACAGAUAUUGAAGUAAUUUGCCUAAGGUCAAAGAGCUAAAUGCAGGAUAGGAUUUGGAAGUGUCUACACGGUUCCAAAGAACCUGACGCACUGAACCGCUUUGCUAGGCUGGCUCGUCAUGAGUUACAUUUCCACAUGACAGGAAAAUAGAGAAUUCAUUGCAGCCAACACACACUGAUUGCACGGACAUAAAACAGAUCUUAUGAAAACAUUUAUUUGAUGGACUUUCAGGUAAAAGACUUUGUGCACAACCUAUCAUGAUAUACUCUGGUCUCAAAAACUUGCUUUAAAAGCCCAUAAAAAAAGGUGUGAUGUUAAAAGUCAUUGGGUCAGAUGUUAAAAGUCAUCUUAUCUGCUUGCCUCCUCACUGGCUAAAUGUCUCAUCUCAAACAGCGGGUAGGAGGACAUCAUCAGAGUGGCAGAUCCUAAUGAAAUGGCCAAUAGAAAUCGACCCUUGUUAGAUUGUGCCUUUUUAUAGCAAUUCAAAUAUAUUCACCUUUCAAAUCAUGUCUUUUCCAGGUAUUAUAACCACAUCGGAGAAAGCCAGGUUAGCCCGUGUUUUAGAGGAUGGUCCUUUUCUGGAUAGCAGGCUAUAAACUCGUCCUAUGGCAGAGGUUAGCGUAUAUACUCUUGGCCCUUGAAAGGAUGUGGUAUUUUGGUGUUGACCUUCAAAUCAACCCUGAUGUUCCAUAAUACGUAGUUAUUUUAAAUUUUGCAGAGGUACAGAUUCAAGGGCCAUCUGAGAUGAAAUAUUUGGCUAAUGAGGAGGCGAGGGCAUUAGCACCUGUAAAGCUCCUCAGGUGAUGAAACGUUGUUAAAAGUACAGAUAGCAAUUUGGUAAGAGACAAAAACUUAAUGAAAUUUGCAAAGACAAUUACCUUGUGGGAUGGGGAUAUUUAUAGGAAUGGUGGGCAGAGGCUGGCGGGGAAAGCCAGGAACCUGGAGAAUCCUUAGGAUCCAGUCAUUUACAGCUCCCCCAGGUCUGGGAAGACAUUAUUUCCCAGUUCCCAAGGGGCCAUUCACUCUGAUUUGGAAAAAAAUCAUUUAGGAUUAGCAUAAAAAUGGUGAAACUUGUGUUCGCGCUAGCAGCACAUACACUAAACAGUGACGAAACUUGCUCAUCAACCUGACCCUUUAGGCAUAGCUAAAUAUUACCACACACCAUAUUAUACUGUCAUAAUUUCCCACCAUUUUUUGUUCCUCAGAAUAAGGCAACAUAUAAAUAUUCUAUAUUAUUGGUUUUGUGUGUGUGUGUGUGUGUGUGUGUGUGUUUUGAGACAGGAUCUCACUGUCACCCAGGCUGGAAUGUAGUGGUGCCAACAUGGCUCGCUGCAGCCUUGACCUCCUGGGCUCAAGUGAUCCUCCCACCUCAGCCUUCCAAGUAGCUGGGACUACAGGCAUGCACCACAAUGCCCAGCUAAUUUUUAAGAUUAUUUUGUAGAGACAGGAUCUUGCUAUGUUGCCCCGGCUUGUUUCCAGCUCCUAGCCUCAAGUGAUCCUCCCCCAUCAGCCUCCCAAGGCACUGGCAUGAGCCACUGUGCCAGCCUAUGUUGUUUAUUUUUGCUGCUUCUGUUGGGGAAGAAUUUGGUGUUUUAUCUGAGAGAGGUGACAGGAACCUUGGCCAGAUGCCACCUCUAGAAAGUCAGUGUCCUUCUGUUGGUGCCUGCUUGCCUCAUAGCUGCCCAUAUUGGAGCAGAGUUGCUCAUUUGCUUCUCUAGGCGCAUCUUGUGUGGAAUCUCAGGCCCCAGACAGCAGGCCUGCAAAUUACACAGUCAGCAGCAAGGCAGCAGUGAUCUAUGGAAGAGAUUCAAAUCCAGAGAAAAAAAACGGGAGCCUCUAACUGCAUCUGAAAAUCAGCGAGAAAGAGCCGGAGUCCUGCGAAACAGUGCAGCGGGCCCUUCAGCAUUGGCUCUUUCUGCUCAAACCUGUCACCACUCACACAGGAGUGGUCAUUGAAACAAGGGAUUUCUCCUCAGGUGAAUGACAAAGAAACAGAUUUGGAUUUGCUCAGGCAUCUGGAGAGGAGGGUGCCUUCCCCACUUUUAUUUUUUGAGAUGGGAGUUUUGCUCUUGUUGCCCAGGUUGGAGUGCAAUGGCGUGAUCUUGGCCCACUGCAACCUCUGCCUCCAGGGUUCAAGUGACUCUCCUGCCUCAUCCUCCUGAGUAGCUGGGAUUACAGGGGCGUGCCACCAUGCCCAGCUAAUUUUGUGAUUUUAGUAAAGACAGGGUUUCUCCAUGUUGGUCAGGCUGGUCUCGAACUCCCGACCUCAGGUGAUCCGCCUGCCUCGGCCUCCCAAAGUGCUGGGAUUACAGGCAUGAGCCACUGCGCCCGGCCAGAGGGUGCACCUUGACUUCGCCCUCCACUGUGCAGGAGGGGGGUGCCUGGAACAUUGCCACCACAGCGAGAGUCUUCACCUACCACCCUCCAGCCCCGUCCCUUUCUGCCACCUCUGCAACUUUUCCAGUUAAAUUUUAAAAAAGUAAAAGUGGGGACAAGAAUGACCUGCCUGCCUGUGUUUGGCCCUUUUUCUGAGUUUUUGUGUUCUGUUUGAAAUCAAACUUAUGUUUUCUUCUGAAAUGAAUGACAGGGAGAGAAAGAAGCAAAAGCCACCCAGGCUUGAAAAGUGGUAGCUUCUUGCCGCCGGCUUCCUGCCGGCGCCAAGCCAGGGGGAGCUCCGCGUGUCCUCAGCUCACCCUUGCUGGGCCACGCUGCAUGCAAACAAGAAGCUGUUUCAGUGUCUGCCCAUCUGAGACGCUGACAUGAAAAAGGAAGAAAGAAAGGAAAAAACCACCAUCACCAGCAAUAAAAAAAACCCCAAGACUGAUGAAUUCUCAUAGAUUGCAGCAAAGCAGGGGGCCUGGUGGAGACACAUCCUGUUAUGCUGUUUAGGUUGUCCCCCAAGCCGAUAAGCUCCCUCGUGAAUGGCACCAGUUGUGAGGGGUGACAAAGAAUUCAAAACACUCACAGGACAAUUUUCCGAACCCUGGGUCUCUCGGAAUGCUCUUUUUUAGGCUAAUUGGUUUUGAUGGAAACUAUGCCCGCUAGGCCUAUUUUUAGGCCAGAUUUGAAGUCAGUGCAGUUGCUAUUUGAUCUUGCACGAACUACGGAGAUGUCACCAGCAGCUUUGCUAAUUAAGAGCUGUGGCCUGGUGGGAUGUUGACCUGAAGCCAGGGCUCCAGCACAAGUAUCUCUGUUGUGACUUGCGUCUGUUCUUUUGUUUUGUUUUGUUGAGACGGAGUCUUGCUCUAUUGCCCAGGCUGGAGUGCAGUGGCAGGAUCUCAGCUCAUGCAAACUCCGACUCCCAGGUUCAAGUGAUUCUCCUGCCUCAGGCUUCCGAGUAGCUGGGAUGACAGGUGCCCGCCUCCACACCCAGCUAAUUUUUGUAUUUUUAGUAGAGAUGGGGUUUCACCAUGUUGGCCAGGAUGGUCUCGAUCUCUUGACCUCAUGAUCUGCCUACCUUGGCCUCCCAAAGUGCUGGGAUUAUAGGCGUAAGCCACUGUGCCACAGCAGGGGUUGGCUUGGGCAAUGAGAAAAUGGCAUUGCUUUUGUGCCCACUCUGACCCGGGCACAAAGUCACCCCAUUUACCAAACCUCAGUGCUCUGAGACAGCAUAGGAUUCCCUAGCAGGUUGUCCAGUCUUUUCCUGGAACCACUGUCCAUUUACCUCCUUGAGUCGUCUGGGCAGUAAAAGGUGGCCUCCUGCCCAGUCACUGCAGUGUGAUCUCCCUGCUGUGUCACGCGUGGCUUCUGCCCUCUUCCCUGGCACCUCUGCCACUCCAGGUUAGGCCUGUGCUGCUGCCCCUUCUAUGCCCACCUGGAAAGCCCGAAAGCUUCUUGUGCCUUCUACUUCAGCUAGGGAGCUUCUUACCAUGUCUCAUAGCCAGCUUCUCCAGAGGGGACUCUCAGAGCUGACUGUACUUCCCUACCCCAGCCUCUUUGUCCUGGGAUGGGGUCAAAAUAGGAACAGUCACAGCUUCAUGCUUUCAGGAAACCACUUUCUCUUCCAUCUUCUUUGGCCUGCUCCGACAGCCAGACUUCUUAAAAAUAUUUUCCUACAGGCUCAUGCAAAUAGGGGAUAUGGCUGAGCAUCUGUUUCCAAGUCCUAACACAGGUUAUGAAAGCCCAGAAUCAUGCUGCCCGGGUAGCAGAUUCGUUUAGCCAGAACACACCCAGAGGACCUACUCAUGAUGGUGUGGCUGAAUUCCACAUGCUCCUAACAAUGUCCGGCCCUGACCUGACUCCCAGUACUGAUUCCCAGGGAGGGCAUAAUGGAGAGCCCGUCUUUGGGGCGGAAGAUGAUUUGUGCACAAGAGUCAAAUUCAGGUUGUGUGUUGUGGGUAUAGAAAUGGCAAUGCCCAGUUGUCUGUUAGGUAUAUGGGUCUGCUGUACAGGAGAAAAAUCAGAACAGAAUUUCUAUUUGGAGUAUUUCUUUUAGAGGCUGGGGAACUGAAACCACAGGCAAGUAAGAAUGUAUAAGGAACCAGACAAUCUUCAUGAAACAGCUGCUCCAGAUUGGUGUCAGGAGCUGGACAAGGGGAUCCAAGAAUGUCUUGUCAUAUGAGCCAUUGUCAUAUAAACAAAAAGCCAGGGUGUUCUGGCCCUCAUGGAGUUUUGAUUCUAGCAGAUAUAGACAUUAAUCAAAUAAUCCCCAGAGCAAAGUAUGAUAAGUAUAGAGAAAGGAAAAAUAUACAGAACUUUUAACAGCUAAGACCUGAGAAAGCUGACCAGUCUGCAAACAGGUUCAGCUUCCCUAGGGAAGUGACUUUGGAGCUGUGGUGAUGGGUGACUCAGAGUUAACCAAGUUAUGGGAGGAGGGAGGAGGAGAUGGGGAAGACUUUUCGGGCAGAAGCCAGAGCAUGUGCAAAGAUCCAGUGGCAAGAAGCAGCCUGGUGCAGGGGAGGAACGGAGAGACAUACAGGCUGGCUGGAGUGCAGAGAGGGAGACGGGCAGGGAGGUGGUUGGACAGGGAAGCAGGGAUCAGAUCAUGAGGCCUUGGAGAAGCAGGAAGGCAUCAUGGUGACUAAUGUCAGAGGCAGGGGAGGACAAGCAGGGACAGACAGGGACACAGAGCUGGGAAGAUGCUAAAAUGCAGCAGUUCGUGCUUGGAAAGAUUGUGGCCUGGUUCUUCCAUUGCCGUGAUUGGUUGUUUCUCUCCCAUAUUGUUUUUCUAAUUUGUUUUGACUAAUGGAGAAGAUCAGGAGCUCAAAAGAUAGAGGUUGUUUACAGCACUCAGUUUGGCUGAGCUGCCGUAGGUUAAUGGGUUUAGACUCUUUAAGGGGAUUAGGCUUUUGCUCAGAGACCAGUGGAGUAUUCUAACCAGCCUAUCUUGUGAAGGUGGUACAUUAAAAAGUAGGUUUGUGGCCGGGUGCGGUGGCUCAAGCCAGUAAUCCCAGCACUUUGGGAGGCCGAGGUGGGUGGAUCACGAGAUCAUGAGAUCAAGACCAUCCUGGUCAACAUGGUGAAACCCCGUCUCUACUCAAAAUACAAAAAAUUAGCUGGGCAUUGUAGUGCGUGCCUGUAAUCCCAGCUACUCGGGAGGCUGAGGCAGAAUUGCCUGAACCCAGGAGGCGGAGGUUGCGGUGAGCCGAGAUUGCGCCAUUGCACUCCAGCCUGGGUAACAAGAGCAAAACUCCGUCUCAAAAAAAAAAGUAGGUUUGUCUGACUUACCAAAUUAAAAUGUGGUGCAUCAAGUUAAAUUUGAAUUUCAGAUAAAUAACAGCUAAUUUUAGAUGUGUCAGAUAAAGAAUGAAUAUGUUUUUAGUACAAUAUGGGAUAAUGAAUAUUUUCAGAUAAAUAGAUGCCCUGUAUUCUGUGUGGCAAACAUAACUAGAGAAUCAAUGUUAGUGAUCAAACUGAGAAGACUUUUGAGAAAUUAUCAGCAGUAAAUACAAAUAUACAUUUCCAUCCAUCCAUCCAUCCAUCCCUGUUGAGAUCCAACUAUGUGUCAGACACCUUUUGGGGUUUGAGGGUAUUGUAAUCAAUAAGACAGACAAACUCCCUGCCCUCAUAGUAUUUACAUUCCAGGAGAAAAAUGUUCAUCUUAGAGAGGUUGUAACAAACAAAUCUUCAGAAAUAACUGUUACAUCCAAAAUAGAGGAAUGUAAAAAUAAAUCAUAAUAUGAUGGGCUAAGUCGCAGCCAUUACAAAAAUCCUGUUUUGAGGGCUAUUAAAUGUUAUGGUGAAUUGAUUCCAAUAUAAAACCAAAUAAAAUAAAAGCUCUGCAAAACUAUGCAUCAGGUAUCAUGUAAAUUUUAUAAACCACAAUUACAAGACCACCUCAAUAUCUAGAAAAAUACACCAAAGGUGGCCGCAUCUGAGGGCUAGAAUUAUUCAUAACAUUUUAUUAUUUACAUUUUUAUUUUCUUUUUCACACUUUCUAUAAAGAAUUAUGAAUGAUUUUUAUAUUUAGAAAACCUUUUUUAUUCUCUUCUUCUUUUUCUGAGACAGAGUCUUGCUCUGUCCCCCAGGCUGGAGUGCAGUGGCGCAAUCUCAGCUCACUGCAACCUUCACUUCCCCUGUUCAAGCAAUUCUCCUGCCUCAGCCUCCUGAGUAGCUAGGAUUAUAGGUGUGUGCCACCACGCCCAGCUACUUUUGUAUUUUUAGUAGAGAUGGGGUUUCCUCAUGUUGGCCAGGCUGAUCUCGAACUCUUGACCUUGUGAUCCACCUGCCUCGUCUCCUAAAGUGCUAGGAUUACAGAAUGUGAGCCACCGUGCCUGGUUGAAAACCUUUUGAUAUUUGUAGACAUGUAUUACCUGUGGGCUCCACAGCAGCAUGGAAAAGACUAAAGAUUUGUGUCAGCUUUGACUUUGCCAUUAAUUAUCAGGGCUAACGUACAGCAAGUCAUGCCACUUACCUGGGCCUCACUUUCUUUGGAUUUAAUUAUGGACUAACCUCUGAUUUUCUGUGUAAUUAAGAAACAAACUAAAUUGAAAAAAAGUAUGCCUUUGUCUUAUAGAAGAGUCCAGAGACACCAUCAUUAGACUGUGUGUCUGUAAAACCCACAUACCGUAUUCUUUUGUUUUAUCUAGCUGUUAUAUUGCCUAUAACUUACUUUUAAAUAUUUUAGUAUAGACAGGUGUGUGUGCACACACAUGUGUGUGCGUUCUUAAUCCUCUGUAAGGUUGUAGCUAAAAUUUAAAGUACCUUAACUGGACACACAUCUUUUAGGAGUGGUUGGUAGUAUUUGAAGGACUACUAUCAGGCUUGAGAGUUCUAGAGGGUUCCCUAAUUAACCUAAUAAAUAUAAGAAGUUAUUCUGUGCUGGGAUAUUAAGGAGUGUUGAAGAUACGUGAGUUGGGUAGAGCUAUUUAAAGACACCCUGUCCCUGCAUGAGUAGGGUUUAGGAAUCUAGUAAUCCUGGAUUAGAAACUUAGUUUGGAGUGUGCCUAAACCAGGUAUGCCAAUCUGUCUCGUGUCCAAAUACUAACAGAGGGUUCUAGCAACUUGAUCCCAUUAGCAUGUCAGCUGAAGACUACUGCUAGAAUGCUGUUAGGUUUGUUUUGAGUUAAUAUUUCAUGGAAAUUUCUGAGCCCUGGUACUGUAUUUAAACUCACACAAAUGG
Molecule: non-coding RNA, 20885 nt
Organism: Callithrix jacchus (white-tufted-ear marmoset)
Lineage: Eukaryota; Metazoa; Chordata; Mammalia; Primates; Cebidae
Source: RefSeq, a predicted model, not a curated record